GACGAACGCUGGCGGCGUGCUUAACACAUGCAAGUCGAACGGAAAGGCCCUGCUUUUGUGGGGUGCUCGAGUGGCGAACGGGUGAGUAACACGUGAGUAACCUGCCCUUGACUUUGGGAUAACUUCAGGAAACUGGGGCUAAUACCGGAUAGGAGCUCCUGCUGCAUGGUGGGGGUUGGAAAGUUUCGGCGGUUGGGGAUGGACUCGCGGCUUAUCAGCUUGUUGGUGGGGUAGUGGCUUACCAAGGCUUUGACGGGUAGCCGGCCUGAGAGGGUGACCGGCCACAUUGGGACUAAGAUAAGGCCCAGACUCCUACGGGAGGCAGCAGUGUGGAAUAUUGCAAAAUGGGCGGAAGCCUGAUGCAGCAACGCCGCGUGCGGGAUGACGGCCUUCGGGUUGUAAACCGCUUUCGCCUGUGACGAAGCGUGAGUGACGGUAAUGGGUAAAGAAGCACCGGCUAACUACGUG
This 468-nucleotide ribosomal RNA is filed under the name uncultured bacterium. Its description in RNAcentral is "partial 16S ribosomal RNA". It matches the Rfam family "Bacterial small subunit ribosomal RNA", at positions 28 to 507 of the family's 1533-position model. The record is from RNAcentral.